Molecule: ribosomal RNA, 603 nt
Filed under: uncultured Actinomycetes bacterium
Lineage: Bacteria; Bacillati; Actinomycetota; Actinomycetes
Description: uncultured actinobacterium partial 16S ribosomal RNA
Rfam family: Bacterial small subunit ribosomal RNA
Source: RNAcentral
GUCGCAUGCUCCCGGCCGCCAUGGCGGCCGCGGGAAUUCGAUUAGAGUUGAUCAUGGCUCAGGACGAACGCUGGCGGCGUGCUUAACACAUGCAAGUCGAACGGAAAGGCCAGUGCUUGCACUGGUACUCGAGUGGCGAACGGGUGAGUAACACGUGGGUGAUCUGCCUUGUACUCUGGGAUAAGCUUGGGAAACUGGGUCUAAUACCGGAUAAUAGCCGCCUUUAGUGUGGUGGUUGGAAAGUUUUUUCGGUGCAAGAUGAGCUCGCGGCCUAUCAGCUUGUUGGUGGGGUAAUGGCCUACCAAGGCGUCGACGGGUAGCCGGCCUGAGAGGGUGUACGGCCACAUUGGGACUGAGAUACGGCCCAGACUCCUACGGGAGGCAGCAGUGGGGAAUAUUGCACAAUGGGCAGAAGCCUGAUGCAGCGACGCCGCGUGGGGGAUGACGGCCUUCGGGUUGUAAACUCCUUUCGACAGGGACGAAGCUUUUUGUGACGGUACCUGUAUAAGAAGCACCGGCUAACUACGUGCCAGCAGCCGCGGUAAUACGAAUCACUAGUGAAUUCGCGGCCGCCUGCAGGUCGACAUAUGGGAGAGCUCCCAA